Sorex fumeus (smoky shrew) is the source of this 107-nucleotide small nuclear RNA. Lineage: Eukaryota; Metazoa; Chordata; Mammalia; Eulipotyphla; Soricidae. The record is from RefSeq and is a predicted model, not a curated record.
GUGAUCACUUUGGCAGCAUAUAUACUAAAAUUGGAUUGAUACAGAGAAUAUUAGCAUGGCCCCUGCACAAGGAUGACAUGCAAAAAUACAACAAACAUAUAUUGCUA